Molecule: long non-coding RNA, 874 nt
Organism: Armigeres subalbatus
Lineage: Eukaryota; Metazoa; Arthropoda; Insecta; Diptera; Culicidae
Exons: 3
Source: RefSeq, a predicted model, not a curated record
GGUAAACGAGACCGUUUGUAAAACAAAAGUUCCAAAAAAACACGUGAGGAAAAGAUUGUGAACUUUGACGCUAGUUUCGGAUAGUGAAAGGGAAAGAUUUGAGUUGCAGAUAGAGCCGAACCCAUUCAAAACACAGGCGUUGAGUUUUCUUAUCUCGACUGAGAUUGUCGAGAGCUAGGUUUCAAAACCCUAUCAUCAUAGGGUUUUUUGGUGGAGUGGAUCAGCUGUAAAACCCCGCAUCGAGGAUCCUUACUCGGACGCCGUUCGUCGCGAUCGCAGUGACCUGCAUGUGAUUGCCACGUGUCCCGAAGUUGCUAAGCGUGAACCUUUGGCUUUCUGAACCGGCGUGAACCGCAUCCAAGCUAACGAAUAGCCUCCAAUCGAACACACCGCUUCCACGCUUAUACGAAUUCUGCGUCGAUCGCACCCAAGCAAUCGCCGGUGUCCUUAGCGUCCGCAUUCUGCGACGACUGACAGCAAAAGUGUUUCCUACCGGCCAGAAAGGGUACAGCCAGUGUCUCCAACACCACUUUCACGGUGCGAUACCGUCCCUACACACGCUGCGGACACGUAUUCGUACAACUGGUCGCCAUACAAAAGAAUUCGGCACGUGUCACGAGCCCCGCCGAGAUCGCUUCACUUGUGCGGACCGCCAACGUUUGCCAACCGUGUCGACGACGGGCAAGUGUUUUAUCAUCGAUCGAAGUGUCUCCAAUUUUCAACGCUCGGCCGCAGAGCGAUCAUUCUCAGCCGGCGCACCGCUGGCGUUCGCAUACCGCACCAUUGGCUGCUCUUCUGCGCCUACGGCUGGUGCUUUCUCCUCAUCAUCAACAAUAGCUCAUCGUAGCCCCCUCGUCGGCUGACAAUACGACGC